This 79-nucleotide transfer RNA is filed under the name Drosophila sechellia. RNAcentral describes it as "tRNA-Ser". The record is from RNAcentral. Lineage: Eukaryota; Metazoa; Arthropoda; Insecta; Diptera; Drosophilidae.
GCAGUGCUGGCGGAGACUUUCGAUCGCUGGUCCCUCGAAAGGACCAUCCGUCCAUGUCCAAGUCUUGAGUGCUGCCAAG